GAUGAACGCUGACAGAAUGCUUAACACAUGCAAGUCUACUUGAACUUCGGUUUGGGUGGCGGACGGGUGAGUAACGCGUAAAGAACUUGCCUCACAGUUAGGGACAACAUUUGGAAACGAAUGCUAAUACCUGAUAUUAUGAUUUUAGGGCAUCCUAAGAUUAUGAAAGCUAUAUGCACUGUGAGAGAGCUUUGCGUCCCAUUAGCUAGUUGGAGAGGUAACGGCUCACCAAGGCGAUGAUGGGUAGCCGGCCUGAGAGGGUGAACGGCCACAAGGGGACUCGGACACGGCCCUUACUCCUACGGGAGGCAGCAGUGGAGAAUAUUGGACAAUGGACCAAAAGUGUGAUCCAGCAAUUCUGUGUGCACGAUGACGUUUUUCGGAAUGUAAAGUGCUUUCAGUUGGGAAGAAAAAAAUGACGGUACCAACAGAAGAAGUGACGGCUAAAUACGUG
Molecule: ribosomal RNA, 454 nt
Filed under: uncultured bacterium
Lineage: Bacteria
Description: partial 16S ribosomal RNA
Rfam family: Bacterial small subunit ribosomal RNA
Source: RNAcentral